AGCGUAUAUUAAAGUUGUUGCAGUUAAAAAGCUCGUAGUUGAAUUUCGGGGUUCAUACGUUGGUCGGGCUAUUUGGUCUGUACUUAUGUAAUGGAUUCCUACCUUCUGAAUAACCGGCAUGCCAUUAAUUUGGUGCGCCGGGGAAGCAGAACUGUUACCUUGAAAAAAUUAGAGUGCUUAAAGCAGGCUAUCGCCUGAAUACAUUAGCAUGGAAUAAUGAAAUAGGACGGCAUGGUUCUAUUUUGUUGGUUUCUAGGAUCACCGUAAUGAUUAAUAGGGAUAGUUGGGGGCAUUAGUAUUCAAUUGUCAGAGGUGAAAUUCUUGGAUUUAUUGAAGACUAACUUCUGCGAAAGCAUUUGCCAAGGAUGUUUUCAUUAAUCAAGAACGAAAGUUAGGGGAUCGAAGACGAUCAGAUACCGUCGUAGUCUUAACCAUAAACUAUGCCGACUAGGGAUCGGACGAUGUUAAUUUUUUAAUGACUCGUUC
Molecule: ribosomal RNA, 486 nt
Filed under: uncultured Glomeromycotina
Lineage: Eukaryota; Fungi; Glomeromycota
Description: SSU rRNA
Rfam family: Eukaryotic small subunit ribosomal RNA
Source: RNAcentral